AUAAACAUUAUAAACUAAGCAGUUAAUCAAGGAAAUAGUAGCACUUUCAUAAUUUUUCAAAUGAAACAAUUACAAGAGAGAGGAUGGAGGUAUACUAACCUCCUUAUGAGUAUCAAACCAAAGAAAAGUCUCUUUUCUUAGCAGUACAGAAUCAAGAAUUCACCCCGACCAAUGUAAUGCUAAGGAUCAGAAAGAAAUCAGAAUCUACUCAGAAUCCUAGCUUAGUUUACUACUUAAGACUAAAAUUGAUAUCUUUCUAAAUAAUUUUGUGAUAGCUUUUUGAUAUGUUGGGUCUGUUGGCUAUGUAUGAAGAUGUUAGGUAUGUUAGGUGAGAAUAUUAAAAGAUCUUAUUUAUAGGGCCAUUAAUGACUUAGGAUUUUAGCAAAAUUCAUGCUCAAUAGUGGAAGAUAACGACUACGAUGCAAGCAUAGGCGAUCGAAAAUCAGAGAGAUAGAGGUGAAAUUAGUGACGAAUUUUUACCCGAGAAGAGAGGAAAUUAACUAUUGAUGGAAAAACCCAUCGGGUAAGGCCCCAAUGCCUAGAAGUUAUUGCAUUUGACAUCUAGACCUCGAAUAAUCAUAAUGAGGUUUUGAGGAGGCUCCCAUGCGCUUUGAUUUGACAGAACAGAAGAAAAUCUUAGACGAUUUGAGAUUUCAUCCUUUGAUCUAUGACUUCAACAUUAGGUCUUUUGAAAUUAUAUGGUCAAAAUAGAAAUAGAGUAAUGAGAUUUGUAUAAUAGAGACAAGUUGUAAGGCCAUGCAUGCCAUGGAUAUGAAAAGCCACAGAUGAUUUGAAGUUCCACUUGACCCUGCACUCAAAGAAAAAUUCUUAGUGAGAGCGAGGAAGUUAUUUGUGUCGAUCACAGUGUUGGUUUGCCCCGGCCUUUGAUACGGCUAUGCCACGAAGUUCGGUAUGUGGAAAAAU
Molecule: long non-coding RNA, 924 nt
Filed under: Nicotiana benthamiana
Lineage: Eukaryota; Viridiplantae; Streptophyta; Magnoliopsida; Solanales; Solanaceae
Description: long non-coding RNA (NBEN_LNC037727)
Source: RNAcentral